Long non-coding RNA from Electrophorus electricus (electric eel), 983 nucleotides. The record is from Ensembl. NCBI's taxonomy places the organism in Eukaryota, Metazoa, Chordata, Actinopteri, Gymnotiformes, Gymnotidae.
GUGACAGGGAGGAUUGCCUUCUGCGUUCACUGUGGGCCUCUCUUACCCAACACCUCCAUGUUCUCUGCCCCUCACUCCUGACAUUAAACCCCCUCCUUAGUGAUGUCAGAGUGACCCACCUGCUCAUCCUGGCUCCCCGAACUGAGAUACCUCACUGGUCUUCCACCAAACUCACCUUCACGUCCCCAGCACACUCCACAUCUCUCUCUCUCUCUCUCUCUCUCUCUCUCUCUCUCUCUCUCUCUCACACACACACACACACACACACACACACACACACACAAUAGCGCUCACAGUCACAAUAUACUCACAUUAUAUAUCUGCGCCAAGUUCUCAUUUGCUGCUUCAGACUCAGAUGUGAGGUGUAGCACAUUGUAAAGGUUAAGGUAAAGGUGUCUGGGUGAGCUGGCCAUAACCGUGUGGUGUGUGUGUCUCAGCGGGCACAGACGAAGCGUCCCUAGCUGCUCCCGUCGCGUCCCCACCCUUGCCUGCACUAGUGUGUGUGAGGCACUUUCACAGACGUCCACGCCUGAACCCACGGACUGUUAGAGAAAGAAGCAAGAGCAGAAGUAGAGCCAACUAUGCAACCAGACGGCCGUGUGAGUAAUUUAGGAGAACGUGGACAGAGGAACAAGGAUGACACUAAUAAGCAGACCUCUGUAUAUAUGUAUACUGAAGCGUUGAUGAUUCUGCAGACCGUGCGACAGGCCCUCGGAGAUACAGGCGUACAGUAGCAUCAGAACCUUGGAACUCUCCAGCUGCCAAUCAGACGCUCUGCUGAUUGCCGAGUCGAGCCUGAUAAGCUCUCUGCUGUAAUGGGCCGACGGCAACGGCCGCCAGUGUCUGCGCACUGAUGAGGAGAGUGUGCUUGCUGAACAAAAUCACACAGUAGAAAUGAAAGGCACACAUUUGAAUUCAAUUUUCCAAAUGUAAAAUAAAGAGAGGAAGGCAGUUUGGUCUGUGUUGGUCCCUCUUUAAACAGA